This 902-nucleotide long non-coding RNA is filed under the name Homo sapiens (human). RNAcentral describes it as "long non-coding RNA NONHSAT231886". Lineage: Eukaryota; Metazoa; Chordata; Mammalia; Primates; Hominidae. The record is from RNAcentral.
GCUAAAACUCUGGGAUUUCCUCUCUAACCACAACCUUGCCUUUUCUAUAUCUUCCUUCCUUCAAGACCCCUCUGUUGUUCUGGUCCAUAAAUCCAUCAGGCCUCAUUGAAUUCCCUCUUUGGUCUAACCCUGUAUUUACCCACAUUAGCAAUAUUCUCACCGGCAAUUCCUUUUUCCUCUUGCCAUCUCACUACACCAACCAUGCUUAGCUAACUGCAUCCCAUCCCCUUGUCAUUCAUUGCAUCCCCAAGAAGAGCAAGUCUUAAACCUACGUGAAGAGCACAAAUUCAAUCAAUUUAACCUCACCUGAAGCCUACUCACUUGGACUUUUUAAUUUCUCCAAUGUUGACUCAGUGUCACAUUCUGUGCUUGAUAAAUUUGUUUUAUUUUCCUUUCAUGUUCAUGUCCUGUCUUUCAACAGGCAAUCUUUCCUACUGUGUUUGCAAGAAAAUCUGAUUAUUGAAUCCUCACAUAUGCUGUCCUCUCUGCCUUUAGAUUUCUCUUGUCUUUCACACAUCUUUUCCAUCCUUUCUCCCAACCAAGUGCUCCUCUUCCCUAUGCUCUGACCUCUUCUGAGGUGCUCUCCAGCCAAUUGUAUUUCUCUCUUUUGCAUCUUUAAUUCCUUCCACACAUCUACCUGCAACUAUCUCAAAAACACCCGUCCUACAACUAUCUCUAAAGACAAAUCUCUCAAUCCAAUUUGACUCUUGAAUUUCUGUCCUAUCGCUAUCUUUUCACUUCCCAACUUCUCAAAAGGGUAGUCUUUCUUUCUCCACUUCCUCACCUUAUGCUCAUGGCUUCAUCAAUGGGCUACACCCUACCACUCUUCUGAAACUACUCUCAGGCAACGUUCCAAUGAAGUUCUUGUUACAAAAGUCAAUAGCCUUUUUUCUUUACUUACC